ACGAGAAAGUCUCCGCAAGGGGAUGAGUAAAGUGGCGACCGGGUGAGUAACACGUAGCUAACCUACCCUCGAGUGGGGGAUAACCUGGGGAAACCUGGGCUAAUACCGCAUAACAUCCCGAUGUCUAUGACAAUGGGAGCAAAGGCCCGCAAGGGCCACUGGAGGAGGGGGCUGCGGCCGAUUAGCUAGUUGGUGAGGUAACGGCCCACCAAGGCGAUGAUCGGUAGCCGGCCUGAGAGGGCGCACGGCCACACUGGCACUGAAACACGGGCCAGACUCCUACGGGAGGCAGCAGUGGGGAAUUUUGCACAAUGCCCGAAAGGGUGAUGCAGCAACGCCGCGUGAGGGAUGAAGGCCUUCGGG
RNAcentral lists this ribosomal RNA (363 nucleotides) under uncultured bacterium. RNAcentral's name for it is "bacterial SSU rRNA". It matches the Rfam family "Bacterial small subunit ribosomal RNA", at positions 66 to 422 of the family's 1533-position model. The record is from RNAcentral.